RNAcentral lists this ribosomal RNA (498 nucleotides) under uncultured bacterium. RNAcentral's name for it is "partial 16S ribosomal RNA". It matches the Rfam family "Bacterial small subunit ribosomal RNA", at positions 29 to 523 of the family's 1533-position model. The record is from RNAcentral.
AGUGAACGCUGGCGGCAUGCCUUACACAUGCAAGUCGAACGGUAACAGGUCUUCGGAUGCUGACGAGUGGCGAACGGGUGAGUAAUACAUCGGAACGUGCCUAGUAGUGGGGGAUAACUACUCGAAAGAGUGGCUAAUACCGCAUGAGAUCUACGGAUGAAAGCAGGGGAUCGCAAGACCUUGUGCUACUAGAGCGGCCGAUGGCAGAUUAGGUAGUUGGUGGGAUAAAAGCUUACCAAGCCGACGAUCUGUAGCUGGUCUGAGAGGACGAUCAGCCACACUGGGACUGAGAAACGGCCCCGACUCCUACGGGAGGCAGCAGUGGGGAAUUUUGGACACUGGGCGCAAGCCUGAUCCAGCAAUGCCGCGUGCAGGAUGAAGGCCUUCGGGUUGUAAACUGCUUUUGUACGGAACGAAAAGCCCCGGGUUAAUACCCUGGGGUCAUGACGGUACCGUAAGAAUAAGCACCGGCUAACUACGUGCCAGCAGCCGCCGUAA